CACGUAGGAUCCGAGCGUUAUCCGGAUUUACUGGGCGUAAAGCGCGUGCAGGUGGUUUGCUAAGUUGGGUGUUAAAUCUCUCGGCUCAACUGAGAGGUGUCGCUCAAAACUAGCAGGCUGGAGGACGGUAGAGGAAGGCAGAAUUCCGGGUGUAGUGGUGAAAUGCGUAGAUAUCCGGAGGAAUACCAGUGGCGAAGGCGGCCUUCUGGACCGUUCCUGACACUCAGACGCGAAAGCUAGGGGAGCAAACGGGAUUAGAAACCCCCGUAGUCC
Molecule: ribosomal RNA, 273 nt
Filed under: uncultured bacterium
Lineage: Bacteria
Description: partial 16S ribosomal RNA
Rfam family: Bacterial small subunit ribosomal RNA
Source: RNAcentral